This 230-nucleotide ribosomal RNA is filed under the name uncultured bacterium. Its description in RNAcentral is "partial 16S ribosomal RNA". It matches the Rfam family "Bacterial small subunit ribosomal RNA", at positions 562 to 791 of the family's 1533-position model. The record is from RNAcentral.
AAAGCGUGCGCAGGCGGUUAUGUAAGACAGAUGUGAAAUCCCCGGGCUCAACCUGGGAACUGCAUUAGUGACUGCAUAGCUGGAGUACGGCAGAGGGGGAUGGAAUUCCGCGUGUAGCAGUGAAAUGCGUAGAUAUGCGGAGGAACACCGAUGGCGAAGGCAAUCCCCUGGGCCUGUACUGACGCUCAUGCACGAAAGCGUGGGGAGCAAACAGGAUUAGAUACCCCUGU